ACUUUCAAUGUUUUCUUGUCGAUUUUUUUUUAUUUUCUGUAAAUUCUCUGAAAGUUCUGUCAAUAUUUGUUCCAUCUCUAAGAAUGCACUUGAAGAUUUCACAUUCUUAAUGACGUCAUCUAUCGCGUUGAAAUCUUUGCAAUCGUUAUGGGUUUCAACAACACAUCGACUACAACAUGGUCUGUCAUGCUUCUUACAAAAUAUAACGUAUAUUUCAUCGUGUUCUGAACAUGUUUUGGUGAUUUUCAAUAUAUUAGAAGGUAAAUUCUGGUAAUCGGAUUGUAAAAUAAUACUAUGGCUUCU
Molecule: long non-coding RNA, 303 nt
Filed under: Mytilus galloprovincialis (Mediterranean mussel)
Lineage: Eukaryota; Metazoa; Mollusca; Bivalvia; Mytilida; Mytilidae
Source: RNAcentral